This is a long non-coding RNA of Gracilinanus agilis (Agile Gracile Mouse Opossum), 97 nucleotides long. RefSeq lists it as uncharacterized. The transcript has 3 exons. The record is from RefSeq and is a predicted model, not a curated record. NCBI's taxonomy places the organism in Eukaryota, Metazoa, Chordata, Mammalia, Didelphimorphia, Didelphidae.
AGGAAGACAGCAUAUGGGCUGUCUCUUAAUAUCUCACUCUUGCUCUGUGACCAGUUCAUCUGUUGUGUGUAUACAUUUCUUUGAUAAAACUAAAGGA